RNAcentral lists this ribosomal RNA (468 nucleotides) under uncultured bacterium. RNAcentral describes it as "partial 16S ribosomal RNA". It matches the Rfam family "Bacterial small subunit ribosomal RNA", at positions 28 to 507 of the family's 1533-position model. The record is from RNAcentral.
GACGAACGCUGGCGGCGUGCUUAACACAUGCAAGUCGAACGGAAAGGCCCUGCUUUUGUGGGGUGCUCGAGUGGCGAACGGGUGAGUAACACGUGAGUAACCUGCCCUUGACUUUGGGAUAACUUCAGGAAACUGGGGCUAAUACCGGAUAGGAGCUCCUGCUGCAUGGUGGGGGUUGGAAAGUUUCGGCGGUUGGGGAUGGACUCGCGGCUUAUCAGCUUGUUGGUGGGGUAGUGGCUUACCAAGGCUUUGACGGGUAGCCGGCCUGAGAGGGCGACCGGCCACAUUGGGACUGAGAUACGGCCCAGAGUCCUACGGGAGGCAGCAGUGGGGAAUAUUGCACAAUGGGCGGAAGCAUGAUGCAGCAACGCCGCGUGCGGGAUGACGGCCUUCGGGUUGUAAACCGCUUUCGCCUGUGACGAAGCGUGAGUGACGGUAAUGGGUAAAGAAGCACCGGCUAACUACGUG